This 459-nucleotide ribosomal RNA is filed under the name uncultured bacterium. RNAcentral's name for it is "partial 16S ribosomal RNA". It matches the Rfam family "Bacterial small subunit ribosomal RNA", at positions 338 to 795 of the family's 1533-position model. The record is from RNAcentral.
CCUACGGGAGGCUGCAGUGAGGAAUAUUGGUCAAUGGCCGCAGGGCUGAACCAGCCAAGUCGCGGGAGGGAUGACGGUCCUAUGGAUUGUAAACCUCUUUUGUCAGGGAGCAAAGGGCGCCACGUGUGGCGCUUUGCGAGUACCUGAAGAAAAAGCAUCGGCUAACUCCGUGCCAGCAGCCGCGGUAAUACGGAGGAUGCGAGCGUUAUCCGGAUUUAUUGGGUUUAAAGGGUGCGCAGGCGGAAUGUCAAGUCAGCGGUAAAAUUUCGGGGCUCAACCCCGUCGUGCCGUUGAUACUGGCGUUCUUGAGUGAGCGAGAAGUAUGCGGAAUGCGUGGUGUAGCGGUGAAAUGCAUAGAUAUCACGCAGAACUCCGAUUGCGAAGGCAGCAUACCGGCGCUCAACUGACGCUCAUGCACGAAAGCGUGGGUAUCGAACAGGAUUAGAUACCCUUGUAGUC